GGGGGUGUACUGGUUUCGACGGGGGAUGGCAAGACCGCAACUUGCGUGCCGAGUUUGACGUGGACUCGCAAAACACGUCAAAACAAUAACUGCUAAAAACAAUAAUUUAGCUUUCGCAGCUUAACACCUGUGAACUCUCCACCUGCUGUGUCUGAGGUGCGGGACCGGAGAGCCAAAUAUCAGACUACCUGACGGUCAUUGACAGAUAGCCGCCGGGGAAACAAAUCUGUCUCGCCUCUAAACAAACCUGAUGACAGGUGUGUGCGAGGUUAAACCUUAAAUAUGUCAUCUACGCACGUAGAGGGUUUCGGGAUUGAUCUUCCGGACAGGGGUUCGACUCCCCUCACCUCCAUAA
RNAcentral lists this transfer-messenger RNA (355 nucleotides) under Clostridiales bacterium. It matches the Rfam family "transfer-messenger RNA". Rfam says of the family: Bacterial tmRNA, also known as 10Sa RNA or SsrA, is named for its dual tRNA and mRNA-like properties. Its role is to liberate the mRNA from a stalled ribosome. Lineage: Bacteria; Bacillati; Bacillota; Clostridia; Eubacteriales. The record is from RNAcentral.